AUGACACCGCAGCCCUCUAACCCUAACCCCAAGCGAGUGUCCGGGAAAGCGCGGCGGGAGGCGGGCUCUAGAAGGGCUCGAAUCGGCCGUGUCCUCCCCCGGCCCCAACCGCCGCCCGCUCUGCUUUCCGGGGCCUGGCAGACGACCGAGCGAAACACGUCCCGGGGUCCCGAUCACAGCCCGGGCAGCCGCCGCCGCCGCGGCCAGAGAUGGUCCCGGGCGCGCCCUCCGGAGCCCGCGGGAUCUCCUCGGGGGAGACAUGCCGGCGUGUUACCCCUGCUGGCCGGAGAGCGCGUCGCCGACGCGGGGCGGGCGGUGAGGAGAGGACACAGGACCCAUGGAGGUUCGCAUCCCGGCGCAGCACAACCGGGCGCUUUCUUGGCUCUCCAUCUCAACGAUCAACCCCCAUAAGAUGAGACUACGAAGGUAGCAUAAGACAGCAGGAGCCCCACCAAGAAAAAAGGAGAAUCGAGAAAGCCUGCUUUCCAAAAACGGAGGUGGGGGUGGGGGAAGUGCCUACGGAUCCUGGAGUCCAGCCCCUGUCAAGGAGGGGAAUCAAACUCCCAACCCUUGGUUCCACAGACAGAGACCUCAACUCUACUGAGCUAAAAGCAUAUUUAGAGCUAAGCAUGGCUGGAUAAUAGGGGAGGGGGCAUAAGCCCAAAGUCUGCUUCAAAGCAGUACGUUACAAUUUGUGAGAAAAAAAUGUCUAUAUUAUCAUUCCACGGAGAUUCUUUUGCAAGAAGAAAUGUGGAUUGUACAAUAUAUUCCUGCUGUUGGUAUAAAUUUAAUUGGUGGAGGGGAAACCCUCAGAGUCUACUACCUUUCCUCCCACUUGACUUUUAAAUGGUCUCGCUCCACCCAUGAUGGAAGAAAAAAAGGCUGACAACGAUAAAGGAGAAUAUUCAGAACAAUAUGGAUUAUUAUAUAAUGACCAGUGGUAUGUGAUUAUAUAAGCAUCCUGCCACCACCCACAUACUCAUCCUGCACACAUGGCCAGAAUGUUCAGGCAUUCAAUAAAAAGGUUACUUUAAAACCCUCA
This 1042-nucleotide long non-coding RNA is filed under the name Pogona vitticeps (central bearded dragon). RNAcentral's name for it is "lncRNA (ENSPVIG00000014530.1)". Lineage: Eukaryota; Metazoa; Chordata; Lepidosauria; Squamata; Agamidae. The record is from RNAcentral.